Triticum urartu is the source of this 71-nucleotide non-coding RNA. The record is from Rfam. NCBI's taxonomy places the organism in Eukaryota, Viridiplantae, Streptophyta, Magnoliopsida, Poales, Poaceae.
GAGUCAUGAUGUAGAUGGUUUACACUUUGAUUGCAAAUCUUAAGUAUUAGGUUCGAUUCCUACAUGACUCU